UUGCGGACAAGGGAAGCCCCAG
RNAcentral lists this microRNA (22 nucleotides) under Equus caballus (horse). RNAcentral's name for it is "eca-miR-8997". The record is from miRBase by way of RNAcentral. Lineage: Eukaryota; Metazoa; Chordata; Mammalia; Perissodactyla; Equidae.